AGGAUUAACGCUGGCGGUGUGCCUAAUACAUGCAAGUCGAACGGACUCUUAUUUGUUCCUUGUUCCUAACCUCGGUUGGGGCUAUGGAACAGUAAGAGUUAGUGGCGGACGGGUGAGUAACACGUUGGUACCUGCCCUUUAGUGGGGAAUAAUUCGCCGAAAGGCGGACUAAUACCGCAUGUGAUCUACGGAUUAAAGCCUUCGGGCGCUAAAGGAGGGGCCUGCGUCCCAUUAGCUAGUUGGUAGGGUAAAAGCCUACCAAGGCGACGAUGGGUAGCUGGAUCGAGAGGUUGACCAGCCACACUGGGACUGAGAUACGGCCCAGACUCCUACGGGAGGCAGCAGUAAGGAAUCUUCCACAAUGGACGAAAGUCUGAUGGAGCAACACCGCGUGCAGGAUGACGGCUUUAGGGUUGUAAACUGCUUUUAUAGAGGAAGAUUAUGACGGUACUCUAUGAAUAAGGACCGGCUAACUACGUGCCAGUAGCCGC
This 491-nucleotide ribosomal RNA is filed under the name uncultured bacterium. Its description in RNAcentral is "SSU rRNA". It matches the Rfam family "Bacterial small subunit ribosomal RNA", at positions 26 to 518 of the family's 1533-position model. The record is from RNAcentral.